AUACGUAGGUGGCAAGCGUUGUCCGGAAUUAUUGGGCGUAAAGCGCGCGCAGGCGGUCCUUUAAGUCUGAUGUGAAAUCACGUGGCUCAACCACGUGCGGUCAUUGGAAACUGGAGGACUUGAGUGCAGAAGAGGAAAGUGGAAUUCCAAGUGUAGCGGUGAAAUGCGUAGAGAUUUGGAGGAACACCAGUGGCGAAGGCGACUUUCUGGUCUGUAACUGACGCUGAGGCGCGAAAGCGUGGGGAGCAAACAGGAUUAGAUACCCUGGUAGUCCUAGCCGUAAACGAUGGGUACUAGGUGUUGGAGGUGACAAUCCCCCAGUGCCGCAGUUAACGCAUUAAGUACCCCGCCUGGGGACUACGGCCGCAAGGCUGAA
This 376-nucleotide ribosomal RNA is filed under the name uncultured bacterium. RNAcentral describes it as "bacterial SSU rRNA". It matches the Rfam family "Bacterial small subunit ribosomal RNA", at positions 523 to 898 of the family's 1533-position model. The record is from RNAcentral.